UUUGAUUCAUGCUCAGAUUGAACGCUGGCGGCAGGCCUAACACAUGCAAGUCGAGCGGAUGAAGGGAGCUUGCUCCUGGAUUCAGCGGCGGACGGGUGAGUAAUGCCUAGGAAUCUGCCUGGUAGUGGGGGAUAACGUCCGGAAACGGGCGCUAAUACCGCAUACGUCCUGAGGGAGAAAGUGGGGGAUCUUCGGACCUCACGCUAUCAGAUGAGCCUAGGUCGGAUUAGCUAGUUGGUGGGGUAAAGGCCUACCAAGGCGACGAUCCGUAACUGGUCUGAGAGGAUGAUCAGUCACACUGGAACUGAGACACGGUCCAGACUCCUACGGGAGGCAGCAGUGGGGAAUAUUGGACAAUGGGCGAAAGCCUGAUCCAGCCAUGCCGCGUGUGUGAAGAAGGUCUUCGGAUUGUAAAGCACUUUAAGUUGGGAGGAAGGGCAGUAAGUUAAUACCUUGCUGUUUUGACGUACCAACAGAAUAAGCACC
Molecule: ribosomal RNA, 486 nt
Filed under: Pseudomonas aeruginosa
Lineage: Bacteria; Pseudomonadati; Pseudomonadota; Gammaproteobacteria; Pseudomonadales; Pseudomonadaceae
Description: bacterial SSU rRNA
Rfam family: Bacterial small subunit ribosomal RNA
Source: RNAcentral